AAGACUAUAGACCUGCGGAGUACCUGCGGAGGGAUCAUUAAAGAGAAAACUGCCCUUUGGGUAGAUUUCCCACCCUUUGUUUACUUUACCUUUGUUGCUUUGGCAGGCCCGUCUUCUGACCACCGGCUUCUAGCUGGUCCGUGCCUGCCAGAGGACCCCCAACUCUUGAUUUUAAGUUGUCCGAGUCUUAUAUAAUAGUAAAAACUUUCAACAACGGAUCUCUAGAUCGGAAGAGCACAC
Molecule: unclassified non-coding RNA, 240 nt
Filed under: soil metagenome
Description: partial contains 5.8S ribosomal RNA, internal transcribed spacer 2, and large subunit ribosomal RNA
Source: RNAcentral